Molecule: long non-coding RNA, 806 nt
Filed under: Phasianus colchicus (ring-necked pheasant)
Lineage: Eukaryota; Metazoa; Chordata; Aves; Galliformes; Phasianidae
Description: lncRNA (ENSPCLG00000002525.1)
Source: RNAcentral
CUUGAAUACACACAGGUGCUAUUGCCAGCUUUGGUUAUUUCCUCUCUGAAGUAAGAGAGGCAUAUUGGAUUUCAGGUUCCCAAGUAAUUACCAAUCUGCUCUUGCAUGCUGGAAGAAAGCAUUUGCAAUAUAUUCUUGAAUAUUGAGAUGGUGGAGGGAUGAAUUCUGCCCUAAUGCUAAUGAGGAAAAAGACAAGAACCAGACUAAUGAGAGAAAAACAACCAUGUAUCUCCUGAGUUAGUAUGGAUGAAAUACUACAGCCUUUAUUAAACAUUGCUAAUAAAAAAAGUGGCUCCUCUCUGUUUAAAUGACUGUGUUUGUAUUACCAGAUAUAAAAACAAGAUGUCCCAAUCUAGCAUCCUGAAUACCAAAGAAAUGUAUAUUGCUCUGUGUUCAUAAUGCAAUACAGGAAGUUUUAGAUCAUAAUAUGAUCUAACAACAAGUAGAUCUAGUCAUCAAUAUACUUGCUUAAUGUGUUGUCCACAUUUUCCAACUCUCAUGUAGUUUUCAGCCUAAGAAGUUAGCAAAAUCUGACCAUGAUAUCGAGCUGUGUUGACAAAGAAAUAACUUCACCAUAACAGAAUAGACAUCAAACUUACAGUCAAUAUUGAUGUCAACAGAUGAUCUUACUGACCAAAGCAACAUUUUUAUUAAUAUCUGAAUAGCCUAUGAUGAUGGAAGGAAGUGAAUGCAAGCUGGAGAAUAAGAUUUUGAGAAGAUGCUUAGUUUCUAUGGAGGAAUAGUUGCACUAAGAGAUGUUAAAGAAAAAAGAGGGUUAUUACAUAUCCUAAAUUUCAGCUGAAUAU